RNAcentral lists this transfer RNA (89 nucleotides) under Agaricus bisporus var. burnettii JB137-S8. Its description in RNAcentral is "tRNA-Thr". It matches the Rfam family "tRNA". Rfam says of the family: Transfer RNA (tRNA) molecules are approximately 80 nucleotides in length. Their secondary structure includes four short double-helical elements and three loops (D, anti-codon, and T loops). Lineage: Eukaryota; Fungi; Basidiomycota; Agaricomycetes; Agaricales; Agaricaceae. The record is from RNAcentral.
UCCCUCUUAGCUCAGUUGGUAGAGCGCGUCACUAGUACUAUCAAGUAAUGAUCAUGACGAGGUCAGUCGUUCGAGUCGGCUAGAGGGAA